This 914-nucleotide unclassified non-coding RNA is filed under the name Hevea brasiliensis (rubber tree). Lineage: Eukaryota; Viridiplantae; Streptophyta; Magnoliopsida; Malpighiales; Euphorbiaceae. The record is from RNAcentral.
GCCAAAAAUAAUAAUAAUGUUGCUACUGGGCCUAGCAGCAAAUAAACAAUGUAAGUUACAUUAGGGUUCAAACUGAUAAUGAAGUGGAUGUCAAAAUGGAAAACACACAUGCUUUCCAUUUCAUUUCAUUCAUUUGCAUUUUAGUAGGAUUUGGAAAACUAAUAAAAAUAGUUUUCCAGUGAUUAGUAAUAGUAUAGAUUUUAAAAGAAAUUGGAAAACUCUUCUCCACUUCUCCAUUUAGAUAUCUUUUCUCAACAAACAAUUAAAACUAUCUUUCUCAGUUUUGUUAGAGCAAUUUUCUGGAAAACAGGCCAAGAUUUCAACAGCUAAACAGCCCCCUAGUUUUUCUAUAAAUAUAGCUCUUGUAGUCGUCUGCUUCAUAAUGAAAAAACGCAAGUGCCUCUCUAUAGAGAUAGGCACAUUGCCAAAUAAUAUAGAAUUCUUCAUGUAGUGUUUUUCUAUUCUUUCAUGAUCGUUACUUCAGUCUCUGUGUAUGUGUGUGUGUCUAUGUGUGUGUGUGUGUUUCAUGAGUAAUUUUUUCAACACCUUUCCAUUCUUUCAGAUCUUAUUUAGGGAUUAGUAUUGUGUUUAGACAGCCUAGAAUAUCAAGAACAUUAUGAACAGCUUCCCAUGGUUGGGAGUGGCAGACAAUAAUGCGAAAAUUUUUGCUAGCUUGAAAUCUGUUUUAAAUAUAGGCCCUGAAGUGCCCAUUGGGCACUGUAAUUGACUACCUUCUGCUUUUUGCAAAAGCACCUGAUGUGAGAGAGGCUAGACUCUAGAGUGAUCUGCCCAUAACUACUCCAUGGUGAGCUAGGGUACAGGAUUAAGGGCUUGAAGCAAAGGAGUAGGGGUUUGUGGAUUUAAUUGGAACAAGGGAAAAGAAAGCGAGACAGAGAGAAAAAGAGAGAGAGAGA